GUUACUCAGGAAAAGCUUUGGAAAGUAGGAAAAUUUUCCAGCAAUGGAUAAGACAAUGCUGCUUGAGAUUGUAUCGGACAUGUUGAAUUAAUAUGCCUUCCGGCCCAAUAAUUGCUUUGCACAGAAUUGGAGCUUGGCUUGGACCCCAAAAAAUGAAACAGAGCAUGACUGAUAUUCCAACUGGACUUCUUGUUUGCUUGCAGUACUAGCUGGGUACAUUAGCCGCAUGAAGACAUCAUGUAGCCUUAACAAAGAGAACUCUGUACGUUUCCAGUCUACAAAACUGUUAAUUUCAAUCAUGACAGUCGCUGUUAAUUUCAAUCAUGACACAUAAGUGGCUAUAAUUA
RNAcentral lists this unclassified non-coding RNA (347 nucleotides) under Hevea brasiliensis (rubber tree). Lineage: Eukaryota; Viridiplantae; Streptophyta; Magnoliopsida; Malpighiales; Euphorbiaceae. The record is from RNAcentral.